Molecule: ribosomal RNA, 664 nt
Filed under: Thelephoraceae sp. H176
Lineage: Eukaryota; Fungi; Basidiomycota; Agaricomycetes; Thelephorales; Thelephoraceae
Description: eukaryotic LSU rRNA
Rfam family: 5.8S ribosomal RNA (bases 250-404)
Source: RNAcentral
AAGUCGUAACAAGGUUUCCGUAGGUGAACCUGCGGAAGGAUCAUUACCGAACCGUCAAACAUGGGUUGUUGCUGGCCCUCUAACGGGGGCAUGUGCACGCUCUGUUUACGCAUCCACUUCACACCUGUGCACCCUCUGUAGUUCUAUGGUCUGGGGGAUCCUGUCCUCCCUUCCGUAGCCCUGCAUUUUUACACACACACUGUAACAAUGUUUUAUGGAAUGCCUUCUGCGUCUAACGCAAUACAAUACAACUUUCAGCAACGGAUCUCUUGGCUCUCGCAUCGAUGAAGAACGCAGCGAAAUGCGAUAAGUAAUGUGAAUUGCAGAAUUCAGUGAAUCAUCGAAUCUUUGAACGCACCUUGCGCCCCUUGGCUAUUCCUUGGGGCAUGCCUGUUUGAGUAUCAUGAACACCUCAACUCUCAUGGUUUGCCAUGAAGAGCUUGGACUUUGGGGGUUUGCUGGCCGUUCGGUCGGCUCCCCUUAAAUGAAUCAGCUUGCCAGUGUUUGGUGGCGUCGCGGGUGUGAUAACUAUCUACGCUCACGGUCGCCUGCCAGGUAACCUUUGUCGCCAAAGGUUUGCUGGUGCUUACAAACGUCUCUCCUCAGCGAAGACAACUGUUGAACGUUCGAUCUCAAAUCAGGUAGGACUACCCGCUGAACUUAA